This 3745-nucleotide long non-coding RNA is filed under the name Marmota monax (woodchuck). Lineage: Eukaryota; Metazoa; Chordata; Mammalia; Rodentia; Sciuridae. The record is from RNAcentral.
UGCCUUUGUAGGUUUCACAGCAGCAGCCUCCCUGGUGUCCUUGGCUUGGGCUCUAGCCUCCUACCAGAAGGCCCUGCGGGACUCUCGAGAUGACAAGAAGCCCAUCAGCUACAUGGCGGUCAUCAUCCAGUUCUGCUGGCACUUCUUCACGAUCGCGGCCAGGGUCAUCACCUUCGCGCUCUUCGCCUCGGUGUUCCAGCUGUACUUUGGGAUCUUCAUCGUCCUUCACUGGUGCAUCAUGACCUUCUGGAUCGUCCACUGUGAGACAGAAUUCUGUAUCACCAAAUGGGAGGAGAUUGUGUUUGACAUGGUGGUGGGGAUCAUCUAUAUCUUCAGCUGGUUCAACGUCAAGGAAGGCAGGACACGCUGCCGGCUGUUCAUUUACUAUUUUGUGAUCCUUUUGGAAAACACAGCCUUGAGCGCCCUCUGGUACCUGUACAAGGCUCCGCAGAUCGCAGACGCCUUCGCCAUCCCGGCGCUGUGCGUGGUGUUCAGCAGCUUCUUAACCGGCGUUGUUUUCAUGCUGAUGUACUAUGCCUUCUUUCACCCCAACGGGCCCCGGUUCGGGCAGUCACCAAGUUGUGCUUGUGAGGACCCCGUGGCCGCCUUCUCUCUGCCUCCAGAAGUGGCCACGAGCACCCUCCGGUCCAUCUCCAACAACCGCAGCGUGGCCAGUGACCGCGAUCAGAAAUUCGCAGAGCGGGAUGGCUGUGUACCUGUCUUUCAGGUGAGACCGACGGCCCCGUCCACCCCAUCGUCUCGCCCACCACGGAUUGAAGAAUCCGUCAUAAAAAUUGACCUGUUCAGAAAUAGGUACCCAGCCUGGGAGAGACACGUGUUGGACCGAAGCCUACGGAAGGCCAUUUUAGCCUUUGAAUGUUCCCCGUCUCCUCCUAGGCUGCAGUAUAAAGAUGAUGCCCUUAUUCAGGAGCGGUUGGAAUACGAGACCACUUUAUAAAACGAAAGAACUUGCAGGAGCCACAACAUCCAGAUGAAGGGGUGACAGCAGGGCUGUGGCAAUCGUGACACUUCAUCUUACAGUAGGGGCAACAAGCUGCAAUGUUCUUAGUCUGCCCCGUCCUCCUGUUAUGGUUUGAUCCUCCAUCAGCUAACUGCCUGCUGUUGGUCUUCUUUCCAACCAGCAGCACCAGAGUCUCUUAAUCCACCUGAAGGAGAGCAACACCAGCUCAGUAUGACUGUGGCUACCAAAUUCCUCCUGCACUGUCUUGGAGCACCAUCCACCAGAGGGGACUAUUAUUAUGGAAGAGUUUGCCUCCAAUCAAUAGGGUGUUUUAAUGGAGUUAACUGAUUUUUGCAUAAAAAUAUAUUCAGUCACACACACUAACACACACACACACACACACACACACACACCAGUCCUCUGUCAAAAUAGCUUAGGUGAUUUUCUCGAUGCAAAGCUCUGAUUCCUGAAGAAAUAUAAAAACAAAGAGAGAGAAUAUAUCCCUCAAGACUUCAGAAAAAAAAGUAGUACUGCUUAGAAAAGAAUUCAUAAAUCAUUUUCUCAUUUGAAAACCAAUAUCAUGUGUGGAAAAAAAAAAGCCUACUCAAUAGACAGCAAACUCAAGUGUGUUUACACAUGUAUUAGCGUUGAUGGAAUGGUUCAUUUUAUACACAUUUCAGGAUUUGUUUUUUUAAUUUUAAAUUUUCAGUUGAGAACAUCUUUAUGACAGGAAUCCUAUGCAGCACAUGUAUGGCUUUCGACAAGACCAAGGAGCUCGAUAACUUCGUGAUGUAAAUUAAAUGAUAAUCAUCUUUCAGUAUUCAAUUGCAAAAGUUUAAAACAUACACCAAUAGGAAGUGGGGGGAAAAGAGACAGAAUAAAGAGUCUGAUUCCCGGGCAUGUGCAGCUCACAUUGGAAUGUAAGCGCAGGGCCUCCAGAGAGGAGUGGGCUGCAAGUGCAUCUGUUUCCGGAUACAGAAUGAGUGGCUCGCUGUAUGCAUGUGGGCAGGUGUGAUUCCAGAAGACACUAUGCCUCAUCUUUCUAGUGCCAAACUCCAUCCAACCACAGGACUUGACACGGAAGCCCCAGUGACUGAGAAUAAGUGAUGUGAGCCCCCUGAAAGCAGACAAGAGAAUGAACAAGUUCUCCACUGUGUACAGACUUACCCACCUCCCAUCCAAGCUCAAAGUGAUAUCUCUUUUAGAGGCUUUGGGACAAUUUUAGUAAGUAUGAGCAUACCAAUGCGGUGAAUAUGCUAUAAGGAAACCCUUCUGAACUGAUUGAGGGCUUAUCACUCUAUCCAGCUAAGAUUUGUAUUUGAAUCAUCUGUAAAGUCGCACUCUUACAACAAGCUUCUGGGUUUUAAAUACCUCCGUACAGCAAGUAAACGUUCCCUGCUUUCUGUUCUCAGUGUCCUUGGUCAUGGUGCUUUUCGUUGCAUUAAAAGUGCCGGUCAAACUUUGAUAGUAUUUUUUUAUAGUUGGUGCAGAGUGGAAUAACUCAUGGAUUAUUUCAAUAUUUUUGUAAUAAAAACAUAUAGGGUAUACAUAUAGGCAUCAUCACUUUUUUUAUAGACCUGGAAUUAUUUAAAAUACUUUAAGCAUCAUAAUCACUUGGGAUGUCAGAAAUUGGUCCACAAAUUCAUCAGCCUGCCUCGGCAGAUUGAAAACACUUGUCUCUUGCAAGAUCUGCAAGUUGGUGCCCCCAGGAACCUGGCCAGGGGUGCUAUAAGAAUAUCAGGUGAAGAGAGAAACAGCCUAACUAGAAAGGGCUUGUCAAGACUGGCCAAUGUUUCCCAGGAAAUCAAAGAUGUAAAUGAUUAUUUUCAUCCAUUCAUUAAAAUAAACCUGACCACAGUGGAAGAUGUCUUAAACUUCUUUCCCUGGUUUUAUAUUAACCCAACUGAUAGAUUAAAGCUUAUUCAAGUCAUUAAAAAAGAAGGUAAAAAGUCAGAUUAAUGUAAUUAUUUACUUAUUUGGACUGUCCUAGUCUCUUAAAGUGGUCAAGUUCUAGAGCCACUGCCUGUAAUAAGUAUGUCAUCCACAAACUGCUGUCCCCAUGAGGACAUCCACAGGAAGUGACAGAGGGCUCAACCUAGGACUUCUUUUGGUACAAAGCCCCAAAUCAAUUUUUUUAAAGAUAAGACAAUUUUUACCAGUAGACGUAUUUCCUAGUACUCCAUGGCUUGAUCCUCCAAGCAAGAUUUCCACUAAACACAAUCAAAGCUAAUCAUUUUUUCGGGAUGUGGAAAGAUCACCUCGUCACUGGUAAAGCUCCAGGAGGACCCUCUUCUUGUCAGCACAUGGUGAAAAUAUUCCACCCCCAUUGUAGAAGGGGGGAAAAAAAGAUCAUUUUUGGCAAAUCCUUCACCUUUGUGCAGAAUCAUGAGUUAUUAGCUUCAUUAGUUCCAAGACAACUUUUAACUGAUGAUCUGUGGAAACGGAAUUUCUCAGUUGAACUAUACCUUGAUUCCACGAGUUAUAACAGAUGACAAUAUAAUAGUGUCAAGCAAACAAACACGACAGCCCCUUCACUCUUCUUAUCAUGUAAGUUCUAAGUUAUUUCUCAACUUGAUCCCUCACUUACCAUGUUAAGAUUUGAAACAAGGACUAUGUAAAUAAGAGAUAAUGUACUGUCCUUUAUCUUGGAGGUGAGAUUGGCAGUCAGGAGGGUGUGAGAAGUUUGAAUUUUUAAAUGAUUUCCCCAAUACUGUAAACGUUGUUAUUGGACAUUCUUGAAGACUGUGAUGUUUUAGUUAACAAUGAAUUCUUGCUAAGGAAAUG